AGUGAACGCUGGCGGUAGGCUUAACACAUGCAAGUCGAACGGCAGCACAGUAAGAGUUUGCUCUUACGGGUGGCGAGUGGCGGACGGGAGAGGAAUAUAUCGGAAUCUACUUUUUCGUGUGGGUUAACGUAGGGAAACUUACGCUAAUAUCGCAUAUGAUCUACGGGUGAAAGCAGGGGAUCUUCUGAGCUUGUGCGAUUGAAUGAGCCGAUGUUGGGUUAGAUAGUUGGCGGGGUAAAGGCCCACCAAGGCGACGAUCCGCAGCUGGUCUGAGAGGAUGAUCAGCCACACUGGAACUGAGACACGGUCCAGACUCCUACGGGAGGCAGCAGUGGGGAAUGUUGGACAAUGGGCGCAAGCCUGGUCCAGCCAUACCACGUGGGUGAAAGAGGCCUUCGGGUUGUAAAGCCCUUCUGUUGGGAAAGAAAAGCAGCCGGUUAAUACCCCGCUGUUCUGACGGUACCCAAAGAAUAAGCACCGGCUAACUUCGUG
Molecule: ribosomal RNA, 492 nt
Filed under: uncultured bacterium
Lineage: Bacteria
Description: partial 16S ribosomal RNA
Rfam family: Bacterial small subunit ribosomal RNA
Source: RNAcentral